This 474-nucleotide ribosomal RNA is filed under the name uncultured organism. RNAcentral describes it as "partial 16S ribosomal RNA". It matches the Rfam family "Bacterial small subunit ribosomal RNA", at positions 332 to 797 of the family's 1533-position model. The record is from RNAcentral.
UACACUCCUGCGGGAGGCAGCAGUGGGGAAUUUCGGACAAUGGGCGAAAGCCUGAUCCAGCAAUGCCGCGUGAGUGAAGAAGGCCUUCGGGUUGUAAAGCUCUUUUGUCAGGGAAGAAACGGUGAAAGCUAAUAUCUUUUGCUAAUGACGGUACCUGAAGAAUAAGCACCGGCUAACUACGUGCCAGCAGCCGCGGUAAUACGUAGGGUGCAAGCGUUAAUCGGAAUUACUGGGCGUAAAGCGUGCGCAGGCGGUUUUGUAAGUCUGAUGUGAAAUCCCCGGGCUCAACCUGGGAAUUGCAUUGGAGACUGCAAGGCUAGAAUCUGGCAGAGGGGGGUAGAAGUCCACGUGUAGCAGUGAAAUGCGUAGAUAUGUGGAGGAACACCGAUGGCGAAGGCAGCCCCCUGGGUCAAGAUUGACGCUCAUGCACGAAAGCGUGGGGAGCAAACAGGAUUAGAAACCCCUGUAGUCCCA